This 497-nucleotide ribosomal RNA is filed under the name uncultured bacterium. RNAcentral describes it as "partial 16S ribosomal RNA". It matches the Rfam family "Bacterial small subunit ribosomal RNA", at positions 28 to 507 of the family's 1533-position model. The record is from RNAcentral.
GAUGAACGCUGGCGGCGUGCCUAAUACAUGCAAGUCGAGCGAACAGAUGAGGAGCUUGCUCCUCUGACGUUAGCGGCGGACGGGUGAGUAACACGUGGAUAACCUACCUAUAAGACUGGGAUAACUUCGGGAAACCGGAGCUAAUACCGGAUAAUAUAUUGAACCGCAUGGUUCAAUAGUGAAAGACGGUUUUGCUGUCACUUAUAGAUGGAUCCGCGCCGCAUUAGCUAGUUGGUAAGGUAACGGCUUACCAAGGCAACGAUGCGUAGCCGACCUGAGAGGGUGAUCGGCCACACUGGAACUGAGACACGGUCCAGACUCCUACGGGAGGCAGCAGUAGGGAAUGUUCCGCAAUGGGCGAAAGCAUGACGGAGCAACGCCGCGUGAGUGAUGAAGGUCUUCGGAUCGUAAAACUCUGUUAUUAGGGAAGAACAAAUGUGUAAGUAACUAUGCACGUAUUGACGGUACCUAAUCAGAAAGCCACGGCUAACUACGUG